RNAcentral lists this ribosomal RNA (343 nucleotides) under Myzus varians. Its description in RNAcentral is "partial 12S ribosomal RNA". The record is from RNAcentral. Lineage: Eukaryota; Metazoa; Arthropoda; Insecta; Hemiptera; Aphididae.
UAGAUACCCUAUUAUAAAAAUUUAAAUUAAUUUACUAAAAAAUUAAUAGUUAUGUUCUUUAAAUUUAAAAAAUUUGGCGGUAUUUUAGUCUUAUUAGAGGAACCUGUUUAUUGAUUGAUAAUCCACGAUUUAUUUUACUUAUUUUGAAUAAUUCAUAUAUCGCUGUCAUGAAUAUAUUGAAAAAUUUAUUUUCUUUAUUUAUUUAUAUAGUUUAUGUUAAGUCAAGAUGUGGUUUAUAGAUAAGUAUAUAAUGGGUUACAUUAAAUUUUAUUUAUGGAUUUAAAAUGAAAAAUAAAAAUGAAAUUGGAUUUAAUAGUAAAUUUAUUUAUUUAGUUAAUAGAAG